Molecule: long non-coding RNA, 1337 nt
Filed under: Calidris pugnax (ruff)
Lineage: Eukaryota; Metazoa; Chordata; Aves; Charadriiformes; Scolopacidae
Description: lncRNA (ENSCPUG00000004888.1)
Source: RNAcentral
UCCUGGGGGGGGUAUUUUGGGGGGAGGGGGGGGAAUGGAGGAUGCCCCCCCACCUCCCCUUGACCUUUGACCUUUUCCCUCCCAGCCCUGCCCCCCCCGGGGGGGUCGGGGGAGGGGCGGGCGGCUGAGGCCGCGGCUGCUUUGGCCGACGCCGACGCCGACCUGGAGGAACGGCUGAAGAACCUGCGCCGGGAUUGACCCCCGACCUCCGACCCCUGACCCCCGACCUCCCGUCCCUCGCCCUGACCUACCACCCCGGGGUCGACCUCCACGGCCCUGUGGUGACCUAUGACCCCAGGGUUGUCCUCUUUGAUCUAUGGCUUGGUGUUGACCUCGUGGUGGUGACCUAUGACUCCAGGGUUGACCUUUGCGACCCCAGAGCUGACCCAUGGCAACCUACGACCCCAGGGUUAACCUCCAGGGCCCUAGGGUUGACCCCAUGGUGACCUAUGACCCUGGGGUUGACCUCGUCGAUCUACGGCCGGGUGUUGACCCAAUGACGACCUACGACCCCAGGGUUGACCUCUUCAACCUACGACCCCGGGGUUGACCCCAUGGUGACCUACAACCCUGGGGUUGACCCCAUGGCGACCUACGACCCCAGGGUUGACCUCCAGGGCCCUAGGGUUGACCCCAUGGCAACCUACGACCCCAGGGUUGACCUCUUCAACCUACGACCCCGGGGUUGACCCCAUGGUAACCUACGACCCCAGGGUUGACCUCUUCAACCUAUGACCCCAGGGUUAACCCCAUGGCGACCUACGACCACGGGAUUGACCCCAUGGCAACCUACGACCCCAGGGUUGACCUCUUCAACCUAUGACUCCAGGGUUGACCUCUUCAACCUACGACCCCGGGGUGAACCCCAUGGUGACCUACGACCCCAGGGUUGACCUCUUCGAUCUACGACCCCAGGGUUGACCCCAUGGUGACCUACGACCACAGGGUUGACCUCUUCAACCUACGACCCCAGGGUUGACCUCUUCGAUCUACGACCUGGUGUUGACCCCAUGGUGACCUGUGACCCCGGAGCUGCCCAGCGGUGACCUCUGACCUGCCGUCACCUUUGACCUUGGCCAACAAUGACCCCACCCCGACCCCUCUGUGACCUCCUGGUGACCCCUGACCCCCCCCCAGGGGCAGACCCCUUUGACCUCUGGCCUUGACCUGGGGUGACCUUUGACCCCAGGAGCCCCCAGUGACCUUUGACCCUGCCCAACUCUCCCUGGGCAGAGCCGGGGGAGGCAGCUCAGACACUAAUGGACAUUUGCUCCCCCCAGGGGUAUUUGCCCCCCCCCCCCCUCUCGGGGUCUUUCCCCCCCCCGGCAUUUUCUGCA